AUUGAACGCUGGCGGCAUGCUUUACACGUGCAAGUCGAACGGCAGCACGGGCUUCGGCCUGGUGGCGAGUGGCGAACGGGUGAGUAAUGCAUCGGAACGUACCGUGUAGUGGGGGAUGACGUAGCGAAAGAUACGCUAAUACCGCAUACGCCCCGAGGGGGGAAAGUGGGGGACCGCAAGGCCUCACGCUAUAUGAGCGGCCGAUGUCGGAUUAGCUGGUUGGUAGGGUAAAGGCCUACCAAGGCGACGAUCCGUAGCGGGUCUGAGAGGAUGAUCCGCCACACUGGGACUGAGACACGGCCCAGACUCCUACGGGAGGCAGCAGUGGGGAAUUUUGGACAAUGGGCGCAAGCCUGAUCCAGCCAUGCCGCGUGAGUGAAGAAGGCCUUCGGGUUGUAAAGCUCUUUCAGACGGAAAGAAAUCUCUCAGGAUAAUACCUUGGGAGGAUGACGGUACCGUAAGAAGAAGCACCGGCUAACUACGUGCCAGCAGCCGCCGUAA
Molecule: ribosomal RNA, 501 nt
Filed under: uncultured bacterium
Lineage: Bacteria
Description: partial 16S ribosomal RNA
Rfam family: Bacterial small subunit ribosomal RNA
Source: RNAcentral